Molecule: ribosomal RNA, 421 nt
Filed under: uncultured eukaryote
Lineage: Eukaryota
Description: SSU rRNA
Rfam family: Eukaryotic small subunit ribosomal RNA
Source: RNAcentral
CAAUAGCGUAUAUUAAAGUUGUUGCGGUUAAAAGCUCGUAGUUGGAUUUCUGCCGAGGACGACCGGUCCGCCCUCUGGGUGAGUAUCUGGCUCGGCCUGGGCAUCUUCUUGGAGAACGUAUCUGCACUUGACUGUGUGGUGCGGUAUCCAGGACUUUUACUUUGAGGAAAUUAGAGUGUUUCAAGCAGGCAUACGCCUUGAAUACAUUAGCAUGGAAUAAUAAGAUAGGACCUCGGUUCUAUUUUGUUGGUUUCUAGAGCUGAGGUAAUGAUUAAUAGGGAUAGUUGGGGGCAUUUGUAUUAACGCGUCAGAGGUGGAAUUCUUGGAUUGCGUUACGACAAACUACUGCGAAAGCAUUUGCCAAGGAUGUUUUCAUUGAUCAAGAACGAAAGUUAGGGGAUCGAAGACGAUUAGAUACCAU